AUUGAAGGCGGGCGGAAUGCUUUACACAUGCAAGGCGAACGGUAGAGGGGGCAACCCCUCGAGAGUGGCGAACGGGUGAGUAAUAUAUCGGAACGUGCCCAGUCGUGGGGGAUAACGUAGCGAAAAGUACGCUAUUACCGCAUACGAUCUAAGGAUGAAAGCGGGGGAUCGCAAGACCUCGUGGGAUUGGAGCGGCCGAUAUCAGAUUAGGUAGUUGGUGGGGUAAAGGCUCACCAAGCCAACGAGCUGUAGCUGGGCUGAGAGGACGACCAGCCACACUGGAACUGAGACACGGUGCAGACAACUACGGGAGGCAGCAGUGGGGAAUUUUGGACAAUGGACGCAAGUCUGAUCCAGCCAUUCCGCGUGCAGGAUGAAGGCCCUCGGGUUGUAACCUGCUUUUGUACGGAACGAAAAGGUCUCUCUUAAUACGGGGGACUCAUGACGGUACCGUAAGAAUAAGCACCGGCUAACUACGUGCCAGCCGCCGCGGUAA
Molecule: ribosomal RNA, 496 nt
Filed under: uncultured bacterium
Lineage: Bacteria
Description: partial 16S ribosomal RNA
Rfam family: Bacterial small subunit ribosomal RNA
Source: RNAcentral